GACGAACGCUGGCGGCGUGCCUAAUACAUGCAAGUCGAACGAACAGCGAGAAGAACUUGUUCUUUUCAACGUUAGUGGCGCACGGGUGAGUAACACGUGGGAAACCUGCCCUUUAGUGGGGGAUAACAGUCGGAAACGACUGCUAAUACCGCAUAGACAAUUUAAUCGCCUGAUUAAAUUGGGAAAGAUGCUUCGGCAUCACUAAAGGAUGGUCCCGCGGUGCAUUAGCUAGUUGGUAAGGUAACGGCUUACCAAGGCGAUGAUGCAUAGCCGACCUGAGAGGGUGAUCGGCCACAUUGGGACUGAGACACGGCCCAA
RNAcentral lists this ribosomal RNA (318 nucleotides) under uncultured bacterium. RNAcentral describes it as "bacterial SSU rRNA". It matches the Rfam family "Bacterial small subunit ribosomal RNA", at positions 28 to 334 of the family's 1533-position model. The record is from RNAcentral.